GAUGAACGCUGGCGUGCCUAAUACAUGCAAGUCGAGCGAACAGAUGAGGAGCUUGCUCCUCUGACGUUAGCGGCGGACGGGUGAGUAACACGUGGAUAACCUACCUAUAAGACUGGGAUAACUUCGGGAAACCGGCGCUAAUACCGGAUAAUAUAUUGAACCGCAUGGUUCAAUAGUGAAAGACGGUUUUGCUGUCACUUAUAGAUGGAUCCGCGCCGCAUUAGCUAGUUGGUAAGGUAACGGCUUACCAAGGCAACGAUGCGUAGCCGACCUGAGAGGGUGAUCGGCCACACUGGAACUGAGACACGGUCCAGACUCCUACGGGAGGCAGCAGUAGGGAAUCUUCCGCAAUGGGCGAAAGCCUGACGGAGCAACGCCGCGUGAGUGAUGAAGGUCUUCGGAUCGUAAAACUCUGUUAUUAGGGAAGAACAAAUGUGUAAGUAACUAUGCACGUCUUGACGGUACCUAAUCAGAAAGCCACGGCUAACUACGUG
Molecule: ribosomal RNA, 494 nt
Filed under: uncultured bacterium
Lineage: Bacteria
Description: partial 16S ribosomal RNA
Rfam family: Bacterial small subunit ribosomal RNA
Source: RNAcentral